RNAcentral lists this transfer-messenger RNA (375 nucleotides) under Methylacidiphilales. RNAcentral describes it as "JANWVL01 sp025056655 Standard tmRNA". It matches the Rfam family "transfer-messenger RNA". Rfam says of the family: Bacterial tmRNA, also known as 10Sa RNA or SsrA, is named for its dual tRNA and mRNA-like properties. Its role is to liberate the mRNA from a stalled ribosome. Lineage: Bacteria; Pseudomonadati; Verrucomicrobiota; Methylacidiphilae. RNAcentral also lists the same sequence under 2 other names. The record is from RNAcentral.
GGGGGCGACAUGGCUUCGAUUUGACCAUGUGAUAGCUCGUGGCAAGCCGAGGACUAAACAGGCCGCCUCGUAAAUCCGCCUGUUUAAAAGAAAAAUGCCAACAGAAAUGUGGCUAGCGAGGCAAACCUCGCUCUCGCGGCUUAAUUAGCCCCGCGAGCGUCAUUGAAGCCGAUUUCGGCUAAGCUUCAAUGGCGUGUAUGAAGCCGAAAUUGUGGUUGCAGUUCGCGUUCUGACUUCAGCCACUCUUAACCAACAGAACGCUAGGCCGAAAUAGCGUCGCGACUACAUUUCGGCCGAAACUACUCGCGACUAAGCUUGUAGUCACGAACUAAAGCUCGGUCAAAGACGCGGGUUCGAUUCCCGCCGCCUCCAUUU